CUCCUAGAAAAUGUUAUUUGGGGGUGAUGCAAGGAGAAGCAUAUUGUAAGCACGGACCCGACAUAAUGAAUCUUGAUUAAGGAAGAUCUGUACGUGCCAAAAACAAUAGCAUAACGAAACUCAUACCAUUUAGAAAAGCAUAAUGGUACUUAAGCACUUUAUGCUGAGGAAUAAAAAAUUCAUGUAGCAGAUUGAUUUAGAAAGAAAGAAAAGGAAUUCAUAUUUGCCUCUUUAGUCUUAUAAGUGUAACAUCUCGAGGAGGAGUAAGAACAUCUCAACUCUCAUCCUAAAACAAAAAUGUAAGUCGUCUAUAGAGAAUAGCUUGUCAAAUGACUAACAAUAUAUAUUAACCAUCCUAAAAUACAUUUGUCGACAUCUAAUAUAUAAUCUCAUCAAAGUCACUCUCUUACAUUUAAAACUUCGAAUGUUAAAUAUAUAUGUACCUUUUGAUGUUUGAACUCAACACCUUCCACCAACUCCAAAGGUGGAAAGGAGGUGGAAUAAUUAGUGAUUUUCUUAGUAUACACAUUCACGACACAAUGAGUGUUAGAACUUGUACCAUGACAUAGCCAAAGUAAGGAAAAUAUCUUGCAUGUAUAAAGAAAAAAAAUAGAAAUGUAAGAUGCAGCAUACUUGAUUUAGGCAUCUAGGGUAUUCAGUAGUAGUAUAUUCGUUCAGUAACAACUUUCAAGCAACAAUCUUCUCCAUUUACCAUUUUAAUUAUAGAAAUCAAGCCCAUAGAGUUAAGGGUAAAAAAAUAAUUUAAAAAGAAGAAGUUCAGCAACAUUAACUCUUUUAGUUUCUACCACUACAUGCCUGUACAUGACAUAUAUAGGCUUAGCUUUUAAUUUUUUUUUGUUUCGUGGUGGUUCAGAAAAGAGUAGGAAUACUAUCAAUUCCUUGUUUAGCUUUAAAAAAAAAUUGUUCAACUAAACUCAUAGAGAGUUGCGGAAAGGAUGAGAAGAAUUUCUUACCGAGUUACUUUGAAAUGCAUCGUCAAACGGGUUCUACCAACUGCAUUUGAUGUAUGGCUGACCGUAGUUCUUCGAAAGAUGCUCAACUGAUCAUUUUGUGGGAGAAACAUUUAAAAAAUUAGGUAUGCAUCUAUAGAUAUUGUUGCUCAUAGAUAAUGGCAUUACCAUAUUGCCUUGAGAAAUGGUGCUUUCUUAUUGAAAAAUUCCUGAAAAAAGAGCAAUAUAUCUGAGGAACUUUUAGAAAUUAGUUUACAUGCUAUAAGUUCUUCAGCAAUGAAGCUUGACAGCUAGCUCUGUACUCAAGAAUUUCUUAGCCAUUUUGUUCUACUUAUUU
Molecule: long non-coding RNA, 1308 nt
Filed under: Solanum tuberosum (potato)
Lineage: Eukaryota; Viridiplantae; Streptophyta; Magnoliopsida; Solanales; Solanaceae
Description: long non-coding RNA (STUB_LNC010207)
Source: RNAcentral